UGCAGCCCCUCGCAAAGCCGAAUACAGCACAGAAUGUUGGCCAAUCUGCCGCUGAUAGAUACAUCGAAAUUCUUCAGACUCUGCCAAUGGUUUUUUAGGAUUCGGAGCUUCCUCAGGAGAUUCUAACGGAAAGCACACAAAUUCCAGCUAUGAAUUGGUACGUAAGGAAUGGACAUGAAAUGCACUAAUAUUCGAGGGGCGCAUACAAAAUUUGGUUCUAUCCUGCAAAGAUUCAAAACAUUGAAAAUCAUUUUGAUAUUCUGGAUACGUUUCCUUCAGUAAAUAGUAGAACAAUAUUCAGAAGGAAUCUUAACUAUCGAACAAAUAAAAAUCCAAUAUGAAAUCAUCGAAAAACAUGAUGCUACUGAAAAAUUGAAUAAAUUCUGUUGCGCAAUAUUUUA
Molecule: long non-coding RNA, 401 nt
Organism: Venturia canescens
Lineage: Eukaryota; Metazoa; Arthropoda; Insecta; Hymenoptera; Ichneumonidae
Exons: 2
Source: RefSeq, a predicted model, not a curated record